RNAcentral lists this ribosomal RNA (253 nucleotides) under uncultured Eubacteriales bacterium. RNAcentral describes it as "uncultured Clostridiales bacterium partial 16S ribosomal RNA". It matches the Rfam family "Bacterial small subunit ribosomal RNA", at positions 524 to 776 of the family's 1533-position model. Lineage: Bacteria; Bacillati; Bacillota; Clostridia; Eubacteriales. The record is from RNAcentral.
UACGUAGGGGGCAAGCGUUAUCCGGAUUUACUGGGUGUAAAGGGAGCGCAGGCGGCGUGGCAAGUCAGAUGUGAAAACCCGGGGCCCAACCCCGGGACUGCUCUGGAAACUGUUAAGCUGGAGUGCGGGAGGGGCAGGCGGAAUUCCUGGUGUAGCGGUGAAAUGCGUAGAUAUCAGGAGGAACACCGGCGGCGAAGGCGGCCUGCUGGACUGCAACUGACGUUGAGGCCCGAAAGCGUGGGGAGCAAACAGG